Long non-coding RNA from Drosophila subobscura, 916 nucleotides. RefSeq lists it as uncharacterized. The record is from RefSeq and is a predicted model, not a curated record. The transcript has 3 exons. Lineage: Eukaryota; Metazoa; Arthropoda; Insecta; Diptera; Drosophilidae.
CAUGGUUUUGUGGUGAGACUGAGUGAUCCUGGAACAGGGAGGCAGAGGUUCGGCUCCUGCCAGAUACCACAAAUAUUUUCUUUUCUUCAUUUUCUUCAUCAAAUUACUCCAACGUAUAAAAUGGAUCGCGCAUUGGUCCCACCAUGAGCCCAAACUUCGAUUCGAAUUGUGAACAUCCUUCAAUUUCAAUUUCAGUUUCAAGUUUGAAGUUUCGAAAAACGUAGUAGGCCUAGAAAAGGCAGUUUAAGUAGAACAUUUUGACACCGUUUCAUCGCCACCGGACAUGGCCUAGGGGGUAGAGAUGUUGCCUGCCAAGUGUCCGGUCCUGGGUUCGAUUCCCAGUGUAGGCUGCGUACACUUCUGUCAUCAAUGCCUACUACACACAUACAAUGUCAUCAAAUAACACAACAAAUACAAAUCACAAGUAAUGAAAUCAAAAUUUAAAGUAAAAUGUAAAUAAUUUGGAACAAGUUCAAGUCAAAAUUGUAAAGUUAAAUAAAAUGUUUGCUUUUUCAAAUAUAAUUUAAUUUUGAUUUUUUUUUUUUUGGUAAAUUCUGCUUUUUUUUUUACUUCUGAAGAAGUGGUUAAACUGAAUUUUUGAGUGAUGGGCAGGAGGGGAAUGAAAGGAUCUUUGCCGUGACACUUUUCUUUCAGUUGCUCGAUUCUAGUGGGCUUUGUUGUGUAUUGUUCACACAACUGUGGACAGACAUCAAUGGGAUAGGUUGUAGAAAAUGAUGGCAACAGAUAAUUCCCAAUGCGACGCUUAAUCAGCAGUAUCUCCAUGAGCCUUGCCAGCGGUUUGAAUUUUUCAUAGAAAUAUAGAGAACAGAGAAAAGCUGAAAGUCGGAACCACAUAAACAUUUAUUUUUUUACAAGAACAACAACGAAGAGGGACGUGUGAGAUGCUUUUUACGAG